CCGGCGAUGUCCGAAUGGGGAAACCCAGUGCAAUUCGUUGCACUAUCGUUAACUGAAUACAUAGGUUAACGAGGCGAACCGGGGGAACUGAAACAUCUAAGUACCCCGAGGAAAAGAAAUCAACCGAGAUUCCCCCAGUAGCGGCGAGCGAACGGGGAGCAGCCCAGAGUCUGAAUCAGCUUGUGUGUUAGUGGAACGGUCUGGAAAGUCCGACGGUACAGGGUGAUAGUCCCGUACACCAAAAUGCACAGGCUGUGAACUCGAAGAGUAGGGCGGGACACGUGGUAUCCUGUCUGAAUAUGGGGGGACCAUCCUCCAAGGCUAAAUACUCCUGACUGACCGAUAGUGAACCAGUACCGUGAGGGAAAGGCGAAAAGAACCCCGGCGAGGGGAGUGAAAAAGAACCUGAAACCGUGUACGUACAAGCAGUGGGAGCACCUUCGGGUGUGACUGCGUACCUUUUGUAUAAUGGGUCAGCGACUUAUAUUCUGUAGCAAGGUUAACCGUAUAGGGGAGCCGCAGGGAAACCGAGUCUUAACUGGGCGUUAAGUUGCAGGGUAUAGACCCGAAACCCGGUGAUCUAGCCAUGGGCAGGUUGAAGGUUGGGUAACACUAACUGGAGGACCGAACCGACUAAUGUUGAAAAAUUAGCGGAUGACUUGUGGCUGGGGGUGAAAGGCCAAUCAAACCGGGAGAUAGCUGGUUCUCCCCGAAAGCUAUUUAGGUAGCGCCUCGUGAAUUCAUCUUCGGGGGUAGAGCACUGUUUCGGCUAGGGGGUCAUCCCGACUUACCAACCCGAUGCAAACUACGAAUACCGAAGAAUGUUAUCACGGGAGACACACGGCGGGUGCUAACGUCCGUCGUGAAGAGGGAAACAACCCAGACCGCCAGCUAAGGUCCCAAAGUCAUGGUUAAGUGGGAAACGAUGUGGGAAGGCACAGACAGCCAGGAUGUUGGCUUAGAAGCAGCCAUCAUUUAAAGAAAGCGUAAUAGCUCACUGGUCGAGUCGGCCUGCGCGGAAGAUGUAACGGGGCUAAACCAUGCACCGAAGCUGCGGCAGCGACACUAUGUGUUGUUGGGUAGGGGAGCGUUCUGUAAGCCUGCGAAGGUGUGCUGUGAGGCAUGCUGGAGGUAUCAGAAGUGCGAAUGCUGACAUAAGUAACGAUAAAGCGGGUGAAAAGCCCGCUCGCCGGAAGACCAAGGGUUCCUGUCCAACGUUAAUCGGGGCAGGGUGAGUCGACCCCUAAGGCGAGGCCGAAAGGCGUAGUCGAUGGGAAACAGGUUAAUAUUCCUGUACUUGGUGUUACUGCGAAGGGGGGACGGAGAAGGCUAUGUUAGCCGGGCGACGGUUGUCCCGGUUUAAGCAUGUAGGCUGGUUGUCCAGGCAAAUCCGGAUAAUCAAGGCUGAGGUGUGAUGACGAGGCACUACGGUGCUGAAGUAACAAAUGCCCUGCUUCCAGGAAAAGCCUCUAAGCAUCAGGUAACAUCAAAUCGUACCCCAAACCGACACAGGUGGUCAGGUAGAGAAUACCAAGGCGCUUGAGAGAACUCGGGUGAAGGAACUAGGCAAAAUGGUGCCGUAACUUCGGGAGAAGGCACGCUGGUGUGUAGGUGAAGUCCCUGCGGAUGGAGCUGAGACCAGUCGAAGAUACCAGCUGGCUGCAACUGUUUAUUAAAAACACAGCACUGUGCAAACACGAAAGUGGACGUAUACGGUGUGACGCCUGCCCGGUGCCGGAAGGUUAAUUGAUGGGGUUAUCCGUAAGGAGAAGCUCUUGAUCGAAGCCCCGGUAAACGGCGGCCGUAACUAUAACGGUCCUAAGGUAGCGAAAUUCCUUGUCGGGUAAGUUCCGACCUGCACGAAUGGCGUAAUGAUGGCCAGGCUGUCUCCACCCGAGACUCAGUGAAAUUGAACUCGCUGUGAAGAUGCAGUGUACCCGCGGCAAGACGGAAAGACCCCGUGAACCUUUACUAUAGCUUGACACUGAACAUUGAGCCUUGAUGUGUAGGAUAGGUGGGAGGCUUUGAAGCGUGGACGCCAGUCUGCGUGGAGCCAACCUUGAAAUACCACCCUUUAAUGUUUGAUGUUCUAACGUUGGCCCCUUACCGGGGUUGCGGACAGUGUCUGGUGGGUAGUUUGACUGGGGCGGUCUCCUCCCAAAGCGUAACGGAGGAGCACGAAGGUUAGCUAAUCCUGGUCGGACAUCAGGAGGUUAGUGCAAUGGCAUAAGCUAGCUUGACUGCGAGCGUGACGGCGCGAGCAGGUGCGAAAGCAGGUCAUAGUGAUCCGGUGGUUCUGAAUGGAAGGGCCAUCGCUCAACGGAUAAAAGGUACUCCGGGGAUAACAGGCUGAUACCGCCCAAGAGUUCAUAUCGACGGCGGUGUUUGGCACCUCGAUGUCGGCUCAUCACAUCCUGGGGCUGAAGUAGGUCCCAAGGGUAUGGCUGUUCGCCAUUUAAAGUGGUACGCGAGCUGGGUUUAGAACGUCGUGAGACAGUUCGGUCCCUAUCUGCCGUGGGCGCUGGAGAAUUGAGGGGGGCUGCUCCUAGUACGAGAGGACCGGAGUGGACGCAUCACUGGUGUUCGGGUUGUCAUGCCAAUGGCACUGCCCGGUAGCUAAAUGCGGAAGAGAUAAGUGCUGAAAGCAUCUAAGCACGAAACUUGCCCCGAGAUGAGUUCUCCCUGAGACUUUAAGUCUCCUGAAGGAACGUU
This 2712-nucleotide ribosomal RNA is filed under the name Klebsiella pneumoniae. RNAcentral's name for it is "partial 23S ribosomal RNA". It matches the Rfam family "Bacterial large subunit ribosomal RNA". Lineage: Bacteria; Pseudomonadati; Pseudomonadota; Gammaproteobacteria; Enterobacterales; Enterobacteriaceae. The record is from RNAcentral.